RNAcentral lists this ribosomal RNA (253 nucleotides) under uncultured bacterium. Its description in RNAcentral is "partial 16S ribosomal RNA". It matches the Rfam family "Bacterial small subunit ribosomal RNA", at positions 524 to 776 of the family's 1533-position model. The record is from RNAcentral.
UACAGAGGGGGCCAGCGUUAUUCGGAAUUAUUGGGCGUAAAGGGCGCGUAGGCGGCCAUGCGUGUCUUCCGUGAAAUCCCUCGGCUUAACUGAGGACGUGCGGAAGAAACUGCAAGGCUCGAGUCCGGGAGAGGGGGGUGGAAUUCCCAGUGUAGCGGUGAAAUGCGUAGAUAUUGGGAGGAACACCAGUGGCGAAGGCGGCCACCUGGACCGGUUCUGACGCUGAUGCGCGAAAGCGUGGGGAGCAAACAGG